AGUUGAUCAUGGCUCAGAACGACGCUGGCGGCAUGCCUAACACAUGCAAGUCGAACGAGACCUUCGGGUCUAGUGGCGCACGGGUGCGUAACGCGUGGGAAUCUGCCCUUCGGUUCGGAAUAACUCAGGGAAACUUGAGCUAAUACCGGAUAAUGACGUAAGUCCAAAGAUUUAUCGCCGAAGGAUGAGCCCGCGUAGGAUUAGCUUGUUGGUGGGGUAAUGGCCCACCAAGGCGACGAUCCUUAGCUGGUCUGAGAGGAUGAUCAGCCACACUGGGACUGAGACACGGCCCAGACUCCUACGGGAGGCAGCAGUGGGGAAUAUUGGACAAUGGGCGAAAGCCUGAUCCAGCAAUGCCGCGUGAGUGAUGAAGGCCUUAGGGUUGUAAAGCUCUUUUACCCGGGAUGAUAAUGACAGUACCGGGAGAAUAAGCUCCGGCUAACUCCGUG
Molecule: ribosomal RNA, 449 nt
Filed under: uncultured bacterium
Lineage: Bacteria
Description: bacterial SSU rRNA
Rfam family: Bacterial small subunit ribosomal RNA
Source: RNAcentral